This 499-nucleotide ribosomal RNA is filed under the name Bifidobacterium longum subsp. suillum. RNAcentral's name for it is "bacterial SSU rRNA". It matches the Rfam family "Bacterial small subunit ribosomal RNA", at positions 165 to 679 of the family's 1533-position model. The record is from RNAcentral. Lineage: Bacteria; Bacillati; Actinomycetota; Actinomycetes; Bifidobacteriales; Bifidobacteriaceae.
AAUGCCGGAUGCUCCAGUUGAUCGCAUGGUCUUCUGGGAAAGCUUUCGCGGUAUGGGAUGGGGUCGCGUCCUAUCAGCUUGACGGCGGGGUAACGGCCCACCGUGGCUUCGACGGGUAGCCGGCCUGAGAGGGCGACCGGCCACAUUGGGACUGAGAUACGGCCCAGACUCCUACGGGAGGCAGCAGUGGGGAAUAUUGCACAAUGGGCGCAAGCCUGAUGCAGCGACGCCGCGUGAGGGAUGGAGGCCUUCGGGUUGUAAACCUCUUUUAUCGGGGAGCAAGCGAGAGUGAGUUUACCCGUUGAAUAAGCACCGGCUAACUACGUGCCAGCAGCCGCGGUAAUACGUAGGGUGCAAGCGUUAUCCGGAAUUAUUGGGCGUAAAGGGCUCGUAGGCGGUUCGUCGCGUCCGGUGUGAAAGUCCAUCGCUUAACGGUGGAUCCGCGCCGGGUACGGGCGGGCUUGAGUGCGGUAGGGGAAACUGGAAUUCCCGGGGUACG